RNAcentral lists this ribosomal RNA (497 nucleotides) under uncultured bacterium. RNAcentral describes it as "partial 16S ribosomal RNA". It matches the Rfam family "Bacterial small subunit ribosomal RNA", at positions 28 to 507 of the family's 1533-position model. The record is from RNAcentral.
GGUGAACGCUGGCGGCGUGCCUAAUACAUGCAAGUCGAGCGGACAGACAGGAAGCGUGCUCCCCUAACGGUAGCGGCGGACGGGUGGGUAACACGUACAUAACCAACCUAUAUUACGGGGAGGACUUCGGGAAGCCAGUUACAAUACUACCGAAUACGUUCAACGGCAGGGAGCAGUAGUUAAUCACGCCUUUCCUGUUACUUUGAGACGAAGCCGGGCCGCAUUAGCUAGUUGGUAAGGUAACGGCUUACCAAGGCAACGAUGCGUAGCCGACCUGAGAGGGUGAUCGGCCACACUGGAACUGAGACACGGUCCAGGCUCCUACGGGAGGCAGCAGUGGGGAAUAUUCGGCAAUGGGCGCAAGCCUGACGCAGCCAUGCCGCGUGAGUGAUGAAGGUCUUCGGAUUGUAAAGCCCUGUUAUUAGGAAAGAACAACUGUGUAAGUAUAUCUCGCCGUCCUGACGGUACCUAAUCAGAAAGCAACGGCUAACUACGUG